Long non-coding RNA from Astatotilapia calliptera (eastern happy), 1288 nucleotides. The record is from Ensembl. Lineage: Eukaryota; Metazoa; Chordata; Actinopteri; Cichliformes; Cichlidae.
GAAACAUUACCCAGAAUGCACUUUUUUUUUUUUUUCCUCCUGUGAGCAAAUCAGAUCCAGGCAUCCAGGCUGCUUGUCAUUAUUUCUGUUUCUCUAUAGCAUACAGAUUAUGAGUGUAGUUUUGCUUUGGAGCUACGAUUGAUCCAGCGCCCCUAUAGUCAACUUGACUGAGCAGGCAACUCAUGUACCAAAGACUCGAGUCCUCACCAGUGUCAAUUCCAACCAGCGUUUCAUUCUACCUUCACUCACUCACACGUUCUUAUUUAAUAAAUACAAAAAGUUAAACUAAAUUAAAAAUAAAAACAUUUAUCUUCUACCACUUGUUCAAUUGAGGGUCGAUAUAGGGUAAAAGUAGGGUAUACCCUGGACGGAUUGCCAGUCUGUUGCAGGGCUAACAGAGAGACAACCAUUCGUGCUCAAAUUCGCACCUAUUGUCAAUUCAGGCUUACCCAAACCCACGCUCGUCUUUGAACUGCCGGAGAAAACCAGAGAGGGGAGAGAACACGCAAACUCUGCACAAGGUUCAUCUUAAAAUUGGUUAUAGAAAAAGUUUGCUAAGUAAAUACGAGGUAUUGGCUCCAGAUUGUGACGGUGGGGGUUUAUUAAUAACAAUUUAAUAUUUACAUCACAACUAAAAUGUUUUUCACCCAUUUCAUCUGUCUCUUUUACUUAAGUGGCUAAAAAAAAUUAGAAAAAAAGAACAAAUAAAAUAAGCACAGAGUUUUAACCAACUCUUAAAAUAUUUAUGGUAUGAAUGUAAUAUUUUGCAUGCCUUUGUUAAAUAGAAUUAUUGUACCAAAAAUAUAUUGAUUCAGAGGGGUCAGGUGGAAACUUUUUAUAUAUAUAUAGCUAUAUAGAUUUGGCUGACUUUAUAUUGAAUGACCCAGUCUGACUGCGGUAGAGUCAGUGCAUCUACCUAACCGACAGAGCAGCACUGUAAAUCAGUCCUGAUCAACAUCAUGAAGUAACAAAUUCACCGGUGGUGAAUGGUUGUGCCAUACGAGUCCUUUUUGAUACACUGUAGUUUAACUAAACCCAUAUUUUUUUAUAUAUACUAUACGUACUUAGGCUCUCCUUGUUGUCUGAUUUUUGUCCCGUUCUGUCUGAAGCUGAAAAAUCACAGUAUGUACAUAUUUUAAGGACAGAAUUACAAUUUCAUUUAAUAUAUAAACUCUGUCCCAACUGGGGGUCUUCUGUGUUUGUGUAGAACGCUUGCUACGUUGAUGCUAUUGUAAUUCACUGUGUUGUCUAUUUUUGUAGAUGUUUUAAUAAAGUUAAUCUUUUCAAA